This 6083-nucleotide long non-coding RNA is filed under the name Prunus persica (peach). RNAcentral describes it as "long non-coding RNA (PPER_LNC004398)". Lineage: Eukaryota; Viridiplantae; Streptophyta; Magnoliopsida; Rosales; Rosaceae. The record is from RNAcentral.
UACAAGUCACCACCACCUCCACACUAUCACCAUAAGUCUCCACCUCCAUACCACUACAAGUCACCACCUCCACCAUCCCCUUCACCUCCUCCUCCUUAUGUCUACAAGUCUCCACACCUCCGUCACGUCACCUCUCUCAUACGUCUAUAAUCUCAACACACAUCUCAUCCCACUCUCCUUAUGUGUACAAUCUCACCACACAUCUCAUNNNNNNNNNNNNNNNNNNNNNNNNNNNNNNNNNNNNNNNNNNNNNNNNNNNNNNNNNNNNNNNNNNNNNNNNNNNNNNNNNNNNNNNNNNNNNNNNNNNNGUUGACAACAAGUGUGCUGGUGAAUAAUAAGGGUCUAGCAGAACCCUUCUUGUAAUCUGUUGUAAGCACUUAUUGUAUUACUUCUUUAAAGAGAUUAAUUGAAUCAAAUGAAAGUGAAGAACAUUAAUUUCAUGUACUUGUUAAUCUAGUAUAUGCCCCUAUGACUUUUGGGUUAAUUAGUUCUGUGCUUCUUUGUUGAAAAGUUAAUGCAUGAUAAUGCAUAUCACUUUAUCAUCGUUAUUAAAUAGUAAACAUGCAUGCAUUUUAUAAUAAAUUUGGUACCUGGAUGUUUCAAGUUGUAACCAAAGCUCAAUUGGCCAGAUACGAAAUCAAAUUUAAGAAUUGUUUAAUCUGAUAGUUGACGUGACUUACUGUUUAUGUUCAUAUGUUUGGGAAACAUUACUGCAAUUGAGUGGACAGAGAUAUGUUUAUGUCCAUUGGGCCUACUCUCGGAACUUAGCUGGCAUGAACAAAUUAAUAGUUGACUACUGGGCACUUAAACAUACCCAAAUUUUUUUAGAGGCUAUUGAUUUUGAGUAGGAAUCCCCGUUGGGUCCGGUCCCAGGCUUAAUCGGGAAGAUUUCGGGGUAAAAUUAGAGGCUGGUAUGUGAAUCUCUAAAUUUUUAAAAUUCCCUGUCAAGGAUGGUAUUGUCACUACAAAAAAAAAGUGGUAACAGUCACCAUUAUUUAGUGACAUUUGCUGGGGCGAUUAAAGGUUUUAGUCACUAAAAAAGUCUUUUUUGGUGACUUCAAAAAUGCCUUUUGUGACUAAAGCCUUUAGUCACCCCAACAAAUAUCACCAAAUAAUGGUCACUAUUGCCACUUUUGUUUUUUUGAGGUGUUAUCCCCUUCUCCAAACCCGGUCUAAUAAGGGAAAUAUUUAUUUGGGUAAAAAAACACUUUUGGCCACUAGGGUUAGAGUUGAAAACGAUUUUGGACAUGGAUCCGUUGUCCCUAUUUUUCAUGUCCCUCCAUGUCCCUUUUCUAAUUUCUUGACAAGUGUCCACCUACUUAACCCCAAACUAAUACUGUUAAUUUGUAAUAAAAUAUUUAAAAAACAUAAAAACUAAAAUCGAAAAACAAAAACCAAGCAGACACCACAACCCCGCCCCACCUCAGCAGCCCCCUGAGCCUCUCCCAUCUUCACCAUCGGCGAAGCAUCCCCUCUUAUUUGUCUCUCUUUCCUUCUUCUAUCUCACUGCCUCUCCUGAAUUUGUUCCUCUUUCCCUCCUCUUUCGUGGUGUGGGUGUGACGAGGAAUAGUGUUUCUAAGCAAUAAUAGUCAUAAUCUCAAAGUUUAAGUCAUAGUGUUUCUAAGCAAUAAUAGUCUUCAGUCACCAUUGAAUUCUACGAGGGUUUAGAUCAAAUCGGCAUCAACAAAAAUUAACAAAUAAUAUUUCAAGGGUUGUGUGACUUGCAACACUUCGUAGAAAAGAUUGGGACAAAAUUCAAAGGAGAGAUAUAUAUAUAUAUAUAUAUAGAGAGAGAGAGCUUCCAUUGAGGGAUCCCUCAAAUAACUUAUUUGAGGAAUACCCCUUGUAGGCCCCACUUCGAAUUGUAUCUCAUUCAUCCAAACAGUCUAUUUUGUAGAUACUCAUUCAAAGAUCAUCUCUACAAAAAAUCACUUGAAUCCGAUAUCAGUUGACCACUCAAUUGAGUUAUUGAAAUUUUAGUACUUUUUUGAAGCACCGUGUUCAUUGAUUUUGUAAGACACAAUUGGAUGUCGAAACGGUUUCCGAUUUGUCUAAUUUUUUGUAAGGAUAAUCUAUGAAUGAAGACCUAAAAAAUAGAUGAUUUGGAUCAUUGGAAAAAAAAAUUGUAAGGUACCCUAAAGGGCGUUCCUCAAAUAAUUUGAGGGAUCCCUCAAUAGAAGGGGAUAUAUAUAUAUUUAUAUAUUAGGAGUCUAAACCAGCGGUUUUAGUAUUUCCUCUUCAGCAAUUGGUGGGCUAUGCUUGUGUACUAGUUCUCCAAUAUCGAAUGUGUGAGGUUGAUUAUGGUAUAGGGCAGAAACAAACAUACCUUACAAGUGAAAUCACAUAGUACUAAACUGGAAUUGAAGUUCUUUUCUCUUUUUCCCCCCCUUUGGGAAGGAUAAUCUCUUUAAAUUGUACGCAGAUGUGUACAAAAUGAGUGGUUUUUGUAUUGUCUAAAACUGAGAAGGGAAAUAUUUUUGCCUAUCUUUUUGGCUCCUUUUUGUGUUUUCUUAUUUGUCGAGGAUAAUAGAAGGGUUGGUUAGAUGAGCAUCGAUCCACGACAAUGUCAACUUAGGCGGUGACCUCUUAGUUGGAAUCGAGAGUCCCUUUUUUGUUUUGGUUAGAAUGAAAACAAAGUCUGCAGUCGAUAUAUACCUUUAACUAAGUUUCCCUUGUUUUUCUUUCUUUGCAUUUGUUUUUCUUCCUUACCGACUAAUACGUACAAACAUGCAUAAGACUUUCAAUCUAAAUUUCAAACUUUUCUAGAAGUAGAGAGAGAGAGAUAGUAUAUAUAUAUAUAUUGAGCCAUCACUUGCCAAGUCUAAUGACACACAAGUAGGACACACACAUUAAAUGCAAGCUUGACCUUAAAUUUUUCUUCCCUCUUACACACAAGGGCCGAUUGAGUGAAAAUAAAAAUAAAAAAUUGAUUUAGAGAGACCAAAAUAUUAAAGAAAAUUUGAUAUUUCUCAAAAUUUUCAAUGUCUAAUAUAUUUUUUUAUUAAAUAUAUGUAAUAUAGUUUAUGUAAUUAACUUACUAUAAAUUUAUAUAAACAAAAACCAUAAUUUGCAGGGUAGUACAAAUAUCCACAAAUAAUUAAUACAAAGAUAGAAGCAUAGUAAGCACGUAAGGUUAAUCCAGAUACAUAGAAAGACACAGUACCGAGAACAUCAAGCGCACAAGGUGUAUCUCCACUAAUUAAUAGCCACAUAAUGCCAAAGAAAUUUUUGCAUAAAAGCUACAAGACUGCAUAAGACAGACAUGAACCGCAGUGCGUAAAACUACCAACACAACUGCAACUUUUAAACUCUCGCAAGUAGAACUUAUAAGUAAGUACCUAGACUACAAACAAACACCCAACUUACAAGAAUUGAUGAAAUUAUUACAACUCAAGAAUAUAUAAACACACAACAAGUGAGUAAAAGUUGCUAAGCCACUAAGCCACCUUGUAUGUCUCUAAAUUUGGCAACGAAACCACCAGUGCAUUGCUACUUCAUCGUCACCAAAGAUUCCAAUGAAAGCCAAAUCACAAGGCUGGGUUUUUUUUUUUUUUUGGAGAAAAACUUAGGUUGGUUUUAUUACUAGAGAAUUCGAAUGGCACAAUUGCUUUUCAGGUUCUCCAUCUUAAUUUGUAAUAGAAGUAACACAUUUAAAAGAUUUAUUUUUCUAGCUCUCAUAAAUAUGGAUGAGGUGAAACCAGCCAAAAGUUCCUCAGUCACACGCUAAACUGAAUAUCUUUAAACCUUAUUACUCUAGGUUGGUAAAAGAAUUUUCUCUUUUUAAUUCUUUGGUGCAACUCGAUCUCUUCUUUAUAGUUUUUUGAGAGUCGAUCACUUUUGACAAAGUGCCAAGUUGCCAACUAUGCUCCUAUUUACAUUACAUUGAAUAAAGAAAAAGAUAAUAUAGUGAGGAUAGAAUAGUUAUUAUCAGUUAUUCUAAAAUAAAAUAAAAUAAAACAAACUAAAAUUAUCCAUAUGUUUCUCCCACAAUUUUUUGUCACUAUUUCUUAUUAUCUACUUCUCGAGCAAUAAUUGUCUCACAUACAAAGCAUUCUAGUAAUAGUAAUAUAAGGACUAAUGAACUAAUGCAAAAACAUUAAGGGCCCUUAAUUGAGUUCGGCAAUUCAAAUCCAAAAAUUCAAUUGGCAAAGUACAAUGUGUGUUUAUUUAUUUGGGUUAAAUAUUUUUUUGGUCACUAGAAAAAAAUUCAGCCAAAUUGGUCACUGUGUUUUCCGAAGUAUACAAUUUAUUGACAUUCUGUUAUCUUUCAUUAAUUGCAGUUUUUUUUAAAAAAAAAAAAAUAGGAAUCACCUUCUGUCUUCUUCCUUUAACUCAACAAGUUAUGGUAUAUUGUGCUAUUAGAGUUCAGCAAAUUGGGGGAAAUCUUGGGUUGAAAUCGAAAUCGUGAGGCAUGAGGAAAAUCAAAAGGCCAAACCAAAUUAAAAUGAAAUCAACAACUUACUAAUAUAUUUUGGUGCUCUAUCACAUUGAUUGUGUCUCCUUGUCAUCCGAAGUCACAAUACAAUUCUCACUCAAUCGAUUCAGGCUUCAAUAUAAUACCCAAUUAUUCGUGACCUUAUACCUCAUCAUUUCGAUUUCAACCCAAAAUUUCCCCCCAUCUUUAAAACUCUUAUAGCACAAUAACCUAACUUGUUGAGUUAGCGAGUUAGAGGAAGAAGACUUGAACGUGCUUCUUGGAAAUAUAAAAAUAAAAACUGCACUUAAUGGAAGUUAACGGUAGAUAACAAAAUGUCUAAAUUGUAAACUUAUGGAAAUAUUGUGAUCAAUCUGACUAAAUUUUUUUCUGAAUGACUAAAUUGAAUUUCCGUGUAAUGACCAAAAAGAUAUUUAAUCCUAUUUAUUUUUAUGAAGCAAAACUCUAAUGUUAAUGGAUGAAAGCUUUACACCUUUUAAUUAGCUAAGCACUUUUGAUAAUCCAGUAAAGUAUUUUUCAUAAUGGGUCAAAGUGUUCAGUUAUAUGCAAGCUAGCGUUCGAACUUUACCUUUUUUUACCAUAUAUAUUUAUUAUUACUUCACUAGUUGCUGGAGAACAGACCAACCCUUUUCAUUUUCACUCUCCAGCCGUACAACACUUACCUACCACACGGUUUGACUUGUCCAUGGCCUUCAUGAAAGAUCAAAGUUGAAAAAUCUUUGUGGGAACCCAAAUUCACUGGUUGAAGCAUGCGAGUUCAACUGAUUGGCAUUUCAAAAUCUCAAAGUCACAUUUGGUAGAAAACUUAAAGCAUCAAUCCAGCCAAUUAUGCUGAAUAAGCAAACAUGUCUUAUUCAAAGAUGAUGUCAAAGAUUGCUAUAAAAGGGAUAGCUUUCUCACCAUUUCCAACCACCUCACUCACAAAACAAGUUCUAAGAACUACAAUUUGUGGCAGAAAUGAGAACCUCAGGACAGCUGAGGCAUUGCCCUACAAUGUUUUAUGCCUUGGCAUUGUGCCUCUUGGCCACAAGUGUGCUUGCCACUACGCCUUAUACUUAUUCUUCACCACCUCCACCAAAGCACUUGGAGACCCCUCCAACCCAUUACAAGUCCCCCCCACCACCGAAGUAUGUAAAACAUCCACCACCUCCAUCACCAUCACCCCCGCCACCCUAUUAUAAGUCUCCACCACCGCCUUCUCAUUCGCCGCCUCCUCCUUAUGUGCACAAAUCUCCUCCACCACCCACUCACUCACCACCUCCACCAUAUGCUUACAAGUCACCACCUCCCCCUUCUAAAUCACCACCUCCUCCUUAUGUCCACAAAUCUCCUCCUUAUGUCCACAAGUCACCACCUCCACCAUCAUAUUCUCCUCCACCUCCUUACCACUACAAGUCACCACCACCACCAUCUCCAUCACCUCCCCCUCCAUACCACUACAACUCUCCUCCUCCUCCAGUGAAGUCACCUCCACCUCCCCAAUAUCACUACAAAUCACCUCCACCUCCAAAACACUACUAAGCUUUAUGGGAUUUUAGCGACUUGAACCAGUCCAAAUAAGGUCUUCGUUUCGAUGUUCCAGCGGUAUCACUUCUUUUUCUAGCUUUGUUCUAUUCGCAGACAAGUGUGUUUGUGAAUAAUAAAGGUC